This 624-nucleotide long non-coding RNA is filed under the name Ananas comosus (pineapple). RNAcentral's name for it is "long non-coding RNA (ACOM_LNC010473)". Lineage: Eukaryota; Viridiplantae; Streptophyta; Magnoliopsida; Poales; Bromeliaceae. The record is from RNAcentral.
UUUUGAAUCAAGUUUGUAGACAGAUUAGCAUACCAUGCGAAUAUGGUUUGUGUUAGAAACAGACUUAUACUACAACAGAAUUAGGUUAUAGGGACACAUGUUUGGAACACUUUUGUGUAAGUGUCACAUUUAUACCUAAAUUAUAAAAAAAAUCUACUAACAUCUAAAUAUAAAGCCUAAUCUAACCAAAAAUAAAAGGUUACUCUACUCAACCCACCCCACCCAGCACAUUCGACCCAAUUACAAAUAAAAAAGAAAAAAAUUUAGAAAAAUCGAUUACCAUCUCCUCUUCUCCUCUCACUCAAUCCACUAAAAUUUUAGACGAAGAGCCCUUCCCUCUCGUCCUCCUCCGCCACCGCAGCCAACGAGAUAGAGUUCCGGCGGUUGCUAAAUGCUUAAAUAAGUGUUGGUAAAUUAGCAGCACUCUUUUUAAGUUAUAGCGACACUCAUUAACUGUCACUAUAUACCUAGUGACCCUACAUAUAGCAACACUUUUCAAAAGUGUUGGUAAUUUAGCCAGCAGCACUUUUUUUUACUUAUAUCGACAUUUAAAAGUAUCGCUAUAAACCGUUUUUAUUGUAGUAUAAACAACUACAACUUUAAGGCCGGAUGGGCUGCGACUUU